This 3179-nucleotide long non-coding RNA is filed under the name Theobroma cacao (cacao). RNAcentral's name for it is "long non-coding RNA (TCAC_LNC001462)". Lineage: Eukaryota; Viridiplantae; Streptophyta; Magnoliopsida; Malvales; Malvaceae. The record is from RNAcentral.
UUAAAAACAAAAAAAAAAAUGAUGAUUUCCAAGAAAGGGAGUCAAUCAUUCAAAUAUCUUACAAUUCUUGAUUCUUAAACAUAAUUAUGCUCAUACAAUGCAAAAUUAAAUGUCUGGAAGUGGGCAAGGUACAUAGGAAAAAAAAAGGACAGAGAUUGGAAUCUCGAAGACAAUGGGAAGCUGGUGGAGGGAAAAAAACAGAAGCGAAAUCGCAUAACAAAUGGAAGAAGAUUUACCUUAAAAGUUAGCUGAAUUUGAGGAGAAAGGAAAAGGGUGGGGACCGUCGGGAGCAGAGAAGAGAUCCAAAGAGAAAAGAAGAGAAAAAGGAUUUCGGAUUUCCCUCUGUCUCUCUCUUUCUCUCUCUCUGUUCUUCCUCGACGAGUUCGGGGAAUUUACCCCAUACUCUGUUUAUAAAUAAAAACCAACCUGUGGUCCGAACGGCAACAGUACAGCGUGUAUAGCGCUUUAAAACGCCGUCGUUUAACUCUGCCAUGGUUUUUUCCUUAUAAAAAUAAAAAACUUUUAUUAAAGAAAAAGAAAAUAAUCUAAUUAUUCUAAGAAUUAAAAUUGUAUUUACUCAAAGAAAUGAGCAUUUAAAUCUAUUUUUUUAAGAUAAAAAUAUUAUACUUAUCAUUAAAUUAAAUAUUUAUCUUUUAUUAAUUUACAAAUAAAAAUAAUAUUUACAGUACCCAGAACUCAUGCAAUUGUUUGGUCACAAGGAUUCUUGCAUCAAAUGCUAGAUUGUUGGUCAUGGCAUUCCACAGAACCUUGAGUAGUUCAACAAUUAUUUCUACUAUUGUUGUUGUUGAGAAUUUCCUGGAAUAAAAAGAUAAAUCGAUUUUUAUCUUGUUUUGCAAUGCUCCCACAAUUCUUGCCUGUUAUUUCUUUAUUCUCUUUAAGGAGCACCAUGACUUCAAUUUCCCAUCUCCACCCUAAUCCCACCCAACUCUUAAUUACCACUGGAGUUAAGCUCUAAUGGUUUAAUUAGUUUUAAAUCAAAACCAUAAAUCUUGGAAGGAAUGAGUUAAGCUCUUGAAUUACCACUUGAUUUCAAUUUUGGAAGGAAAGAGUAUAUACUAUAACAGGUUCUUUCUGCUCAGAUUUCUAGCGAAGGUUUUCAUGUUUUGGCAAGAGCCAGGUUUGCAAAACCAGUAGACCUUGCUCCUCGGUCCUCAAGGAGAGUUCAGGACUACUACAAAGGUUUUAAUCAGACUGUUUGGUUUGCGAAAUCAAAAUAAAAAAAUAAAAUAGUUCUUCUGUGAGAAUGUAAAAAUUGACAUUAUAUUAAUUUCUUUUUAAUUUUUCAAGUUCCAACCACUCACAUUAUCGGAUAGACUUGAACCAAGAGUUAAUGGAUUGAUGAAAAGAAACUAUUUAAUCACUAUUCUUUAAAAGUCCAUUUGGAUCUAUACCAGAUUUUCAAUACUGAAUUGCAAUUGAACAACAAAAAUUGGGUAAUAUUCACUUACGAUUAUUGCAGUAGACAGACAGAUUUAGCAGAAUUCUAAAUCACUUAUAGCUGCAUAUUAUACAGACUAAUUUGCAUAGAGCAUACAGCAAGAAAGAAAGGGGGAAAAAAGAGAGGAAAACCAAUCAUUACAGCUUGCUCAACUACAGGGUUGAUCAGUGUUUCUUCAAGAAACCUUGAGCCAUCUUCAAGUAAUCCCCAUAGCCGCCACUUGCAGAAUCCUGGUGGCCAUGACCAUGACCACCGCUGGCAUGGGGCUCCGAUUGUUUCUCAGGUUUGGUCGAGUGGGCAGAAUGAGUGGUGUUGGGGGUUGAAUGGGAAGAGUGGUACUGGUGCAGGUAAUUCUCAGCCUUGUCAACAUACUUACCAACGCCCUUCUCCUGAUCCAGCUUGCCGUAGUGCGAGGCAGCACCAAACAGAUCAGCGGCUGCACCGGCAACCUUUCCCUUGUCAACCUUAUCGCUUUCAUGGUGCAGUGAGUUCUUCGCUGCCUCCGCCACCAACUUAGCACUAGAGAGGAGCUCAGAGGAAGAUUUUGGGGGGUGCUUCUCGUGGUGAGAGGUUGGUUUAUUGUGAGGAGCUGACUCCAUUGAAAGGAUAGCUUCAGGAACAGGUGUAGCAAUAAUUGUGAUAGAGGAGGAUUGGCGAUGAUAUCUCCUUUUUAUCCCUAGUGGAUGUAUAGAUGGCUGGUUGUGCCUUUAGGCAUAGAAAAUUAGACCAUUGACCCUCGAUGCAGGGAACCUUCCUUGCGGUGUCGGCUACGCGUUACCUUUCCUAGUAAAGACUAAACAGGAUUCUUGCUUAUUCUUGGUUACUUGAUUUCUAUUUGUCAAAUCAAAUUGUGAAAUACGCGCUUAAAAAUAUAUAAAAACAAAUAGUAGGAAGUAUUCUGGAAGAGGUGGGGAUGGAUUCAACCUUAGGUCAUAUUCUGAAUUGAUUCAUACUAACAGUUAAUCAGACAGAUUUUUUUGUCAGACUGGGGACCAAUUCCCUACCCUAUCUGCUAGACUUUGUCCAAGUGAGAAAAGGCAGUAGGCCAAGAGUCCAUUUAAUCACCAUUGUCCAUGGCAAAUAUUGAAAUUGAACAUAAACAGGGUAACAUUUAUUUAAAGAUUUGUGCAAUAGAUUAGCAGAAUUCUCACUACUAACUUAUUGCUUCAUAUUACAUAGAUUCGGAUGGAGUCAUAGACCAUACAGCAUAGGGGAAAGGAAAAAGAAAACAGAUUAAAAGCCAUCAACAGUGAACACAGCUCGGUGAACUACUACAAGACAAAAUCAGUUUUACUUGAAGAAACCCUGAGCAACCUUGACGUAAUCCCCAACGCCAGCGCUUCCAGAAUCCUUGCCAUCACCACCGCUUGCAUGCGGCUCUGACUUUGCAGGCUCAGGGUUGGUCGGGGUGUCAGACUUUUUGGUGCCCGGGGUCGCUCCGGAAGACUCGUAUUGGUGCAGGUAAUUCUCUGCCUUAUCAACAUAUUGUCCAAUUCCCUUCUCCUGAUCCAGUUUGCCAUAGCCUUUGGCAGCACCUAGAAGAUCAGCAGCUGCACCAGCAACCUUCCCCUUGUCAACCUUAUCGCUUUCAUUGCUGAAUGUGGAUUUUGCUGCCCCGGCUACCACCUUAGCACUAGAGAACAGUUCAGAGGAAGUUGGGGUACGGUCUUUCUCUGACGCCAUUGUUAAGUCUGGGAGAGCUCUAGCAAAAAGUUUAUCA